CCUACGGGUGGCAGCAGUGGGGAAUAUUGCACAAUGGGGGAAACCCUGAUGCAGCGACGCCGCGUGAAGGAAGAAGGCCUUCGGGUCGUAAAGCUCUGUCCUAAGGGAAGAAUACUGACGGUACCUUAGGAGGAAGCCCCGGCUAACUACGUGCCAGCAGCCGCGGUAAUACGUAGGGGGCUAGCGUUAUCCGGAAUUACUGGGCGUAAAGGGUGCGUAGGCGGCCCUUCAAGUCAGAGGUGAACGGCUACGGCGCAACCGUAGUAAGCCUUUGAAACUGUAGGGCUUGAGUGCAGAAGAGGAGAGUGGAAUUACCCGUGUAGCGGUGAAAUGCGUAGAUAUUGGGAAGAACGCCAGUUGCGAAGGCGGCUCGCUGGACUGUAACUGACGCUGAGGCACGAAAGCGUAGGGAGCGAACAGGAUUAGAUACCCCAGUAGUC
RNAcentral lists this ribosomal RNA (440 nucleotides) under uncultured bacterium. RNAcentral's name for it is "bacterial SSU rRNA". It matches the Rfam family "Bacterial small subunit ribosomal RNA", at positions 338 to 795 of the family's 1533-position model. The record is from RNAcentral.